GUUGGGGUGGCAGAGUAGGCUAUUUUGCAAGAUUUAGGCUUUCCUUAUGGGGGUUGAAAUCCUCUUCCUAACA
This 73-nucleotide transfer RNA is filed under the name Johnius borneensis (sharpnose hammer croaker). Its description in RNAcentral is "tRNA-Leu". The record is from RNAcentral. Lineage: Eukaryota; Metazoa; Chordata; Actinopteri; Sciaenidae.